GGACACGUGGUAUCCUGUCUGAAUAUGGGGGGACCAUCCUCCAAGGCUAAAUACUCCUGACUGACCGAUAGUGAACCAGUACCGUGAGGGAAAGGCGAAAAGAACCCCGGCGAGGGGAGUGAAAAAGAACCUGAAACCGUGUACGUACAAGCAGUGGGAGCCUCUUUAUGGGGUGACUGCGUACCUUUUGUAUAAUGGGUCAGCGACUUAUAUUCUGUAGCAAGGUUAACCGAAUAGGGGAGCCGAAGGGAAACCGAGUCUUAACUGGGCGUUAAGUUGCAGGGUAUAGACCCGAAACCCGGUGAUCUAGCCAUGGGCAGGUUGAAGGUUGGGUAACACUAACUGGAGGACCGAACCGACUAAUGUUGAAAAAUUAGCGGAUGACUUGUGGCUGGGGGUGAAAGGCCAAUCAAACCGGGAGAUAGCUGGUUCUCCCCGAAAGCUAUUUAGGUAGCGCCUCGUGAAUUCAUCUCCGGGGGUAGAGCACUGUUUCGGCAAGGGGGUCAUCCCGACUUACCAACCCGAUGCAAACUGCGAAUACCGGAGAAUGUUAUCACGGGAGACACACGGCGGGUGCUAACGUCCGUCGUGAAGAGGGAAACAACCCAGACCGCCAGCUAAGGUCCCAAAGUCAUGGUUAAGUGGGAAACGAUGUGGGAAGGCCCAGACAGCCAGGAUGUUGGCUUAGAAGCAGCCAUCAUUUAAAGAAAGCGUAAUAGCUCACUGGUCGAGUCGGCCUGCGCGGAAGAUGUAACGGGGCUAAACCAUGCACCGAAGCUGCGGCAGCGACGCUUAUGCGUUGUUGGGUA
Molecule: ribosomal RNA, 809 nt
Filed under: Escherichia coli
Lineage: Bacteria; Pseudomonadati; Pseudomonadota; Gammaproteobacteria; Enterobacterales; Enterobacteriaceae
Description: partial 23S ribosomal RNA
Rfam family: Bacterial large subunit ribosomal RNA
Source: RNAcentral